Molecule: small nucleolar RNA, 99 nt
Organism: Esox lucius (northern pike)
Lineage: Eukaryota; Metazoa; Chordata; Actinopteri; Esociformes; Esocidae
Gene: SNORD16
Rfam family: Small nucleolar RNA SNORD16
About the family: U16 is a member of the C/D class of snoRNA which contain the C (UGAUGA) and D (CUGA) box motifs.
Source: Ensembl
UGCCGUGAUGGUGUAAUUUGCGUCCUACACUGUGAUCAGUGACAUUAUGCCUGAUGUCAUAUGCUGGCACAAGUGGCUGACGAACCUAAAGUCUGAGCG